UUGUUUCAUUUAAUGUUUACUCAGACGCAAAGAUGCAGAGUUGUGUGGACCGCCGGGGGCCCCUGGCGCGAACGCCGGGGACGCCCCCGAGGCAACAGAGUCGGACGACAAAGGGUUGGAGGUCGGACCACGAGGGCCCUCACUCAGUAAUGAUCCCUCCGCAGGUUCACCUACGGAGA
Molecule: unclassified non-coding RNA, 179 nt
Filed under: uncultured fungus
Lineage: Eukaryota; Fungi
Description: sequence contains ITS1
Source: RNAcentral